GACGAACGCUGGCGGCGUGCCUAAUACAUGCAAGUCGAACGCUGCUUAAGAAGAAACUUCGGUUUUUUCUUAAGCGGAGUGGCGGACGGGUGAGUAACACGUGGGGAACCUAUCCAUCAGCGGGGGAUAACACUUGGAAACAGGUGCUAAUACCGCAUACGGCUUUUUUUCACCUGAAAGAAAGCUCAAAGGCGCUUUACAGCGUCACUGAUGGCUGGCCCCGCGGUGCAUUAGCCAGUUGGUGAGGUAACGGCUCACCAAAGCAACGAUGCAUAGCCGACCUGAGAGGGUGAUCGGCCACACUGGGACUGAGACACGGCCCAGACUCCUACGGGAGGCAGCAGUAGGGAAUCUUCGGCAAUGGACGCAAGUCUGACCGAGCAACGCCGCGUGAGUGAAGAAGGUUUUCGGAUCGUAAAGCUCUGUUGUCAGCAAAGAACAGGAGAAAGAGGAAAUGCUUUUUCUAUGACGGUAGCUGACCGGAAAGCCACGGCUAACUACGUGCCAGCAGCCGCGGUAAUACGUAGGUGGCAAGCGUUGUCCGGAUUUAUUGGGCGUAAAGCGAGCGCAGGCGGUGAUUUAAGUCUGAUGUGAAAGCCCCCAGCUCAACUGGGGAGGGUCAUUGGAAACUGGAUCACUUGAGUGCAGAAGAGGAGAGUGGAAUUCCAUGUGUAGCGGUGAAAUGCGUAGAUAUAUGGAGGAACACCAGUGGCGAAGGCGGCUCUCUGGUCUGUAACUGACGCUGAGGCUCGAAAGCGUGGGUAGCAAACAGGAUUAGAUACCCUGGUAGUCCACGCCGUAAACGAUGAGUGCUAAGUGUUGGAGGGUUUCCGCCCUUCAGUGCUGCAGUUAACGCGUUAAGCACUCCGCCUGGGGAGUACGACCGCAAGGUUGAAACUCAAAGGAAUUGACGGGGGCCCGCACAAG
Molecule: ribosomal RNA, 927 nt
Filed under: uncultured bacterium
Lineage: Bacteria
Description: bacterial SSU rRNA
Rfam family: Bacterial small subunit ribosomal RNA
Source: RNAcentral